AUAACUAGAGGCUCUAAAGAGCCUGUGUCGCUCACCUUGGUCUAUGUGAAUAUUAAACAAAGGACACAGAUAGAUUCAAGACAAAAUUGUGGUUUGGUGAUGGUGAUGUGUUUGUAGAUCUUACUUUACUGAACAAUCUUGCUGCUUACAAUUAUCUCUAUCUAUAAUGAACUUGGCCCAGUAGUUACAGUGGAAAAUGUUAGUAAAAUUUUACAAAUUUUGUGAAAAUUGUUAAAGAAUGACUAAAUAAAGGGCAAUAACUCCUUAGGGGGUCAAUUGACCAUUUUGGUCAUGU
Molecule: long non-coding RNA, 295 nt
Filed under: Mytilus galloprovincialis (Mediterranean mussel)
Lineage: Eukaryota; Metazoa; Mollusca; Bivalvia; Mytilida; Mytilidae
Source: RNAcentral